AGGUGCAUUGUGAACUGAGGGUGGUGAAGUGAACAACAAAACAGUGUGGCUUCCUCUCAUUUUCCCAACAUUUUGAACUCUCAAGUGGAUAUCAAAUCCCAACUUGCUGCAGCCUUGCUCAUUAACAGCGUCUUCUCUGUACCAGGAGGUCCAUGGAGAAGAAUUUCCUUAACAUGCUUGAUACCAAGCCUGAAAAGCAGUUUCAUCCCAAAGCCAAGGCCAUGUCAGUAAGUAAUUUUAAUACACUAUUUCUUCAAGAAAUAGACUUAAGUUCUAAUGAAAACAGAAGGAAUUUUGUUUUUCAGCAAAAAAAUUUCAUACUUGCUUGUCACAUGGGGAGGGAAAACCCUGGAAGCAAAAGCUCUUCGAAAAAUAUCAGAAAACUCUGCACUCAGACCACCUAUACCCAAUGAUUCAAAAUUGAAUUAUUUCUGCAUAAAAAUUGAAAUCUGUAUUGAAGUCAGUUAGAGCAAGUAUCAAAUCAAAAGGAACUCCAAUAAACAUAAGGGAAGCCAUUUUCUUUGACAACUUAUGCCACUAGUAUAUUACUUAAAGACAGAUGUAACCUUUAUUCCAAUGGAGUUUGCGGCUUCAAAUAUAAUGUAUGUCAGCUGAGACCAUCCUUCUUUCAACAUUAGAUUUUUCUUGCCCCUCAACAGUAGCUUGAUUCAUAGUGACUAUAUAACCAUUGCCAUCAUACUCAAAUGUCACCUUUUGCCCAGUUGUCAUAAUCUGCAUAGGUAAAAUUAUCCAUACAUCAGUUACUUUCAUCAGAACUAGACUCGUAACAUCUACUGCAGCUUAACUGGAAAAACGGGGAGUUAGGGUUAGAACAACCGCUUUAUAUCAACUUCUAAUAUAGUGCUCCCUCCGUCCUCAUUUAUGUGAUGGUUUGACUGAGCACGGAGUUUAAGGAAGAAAGAAAGACUACCUUUCGUAAACCUGAGAGCAUUUUUCUUAAGGGGCAUGUCUGACUUAAGUGUCUGUUUUUAAUGUGUCUACCAGUGCCAAAAUGCAUUUGCUAAAGGUUGACUCUAAUACCAUGUAAAAAAGAUAUGAACACCCAAUCCAAAAUCUUAAGGCUUGGAGUAGUCCAAAACCUAUAAACCCCUUCGAAAGCAAUUUCUCACCCCAUGUGGGACAAAUAUAUAAUUGAACAGCUACAAAGAGAACCUCAUUCCAUAUUGUUAUUACAUAUUGAUUCCAACUGACACCCCAAGGCAUUUCCAUAUGUAUCUUGAUUAAUAAAGCAUAUAAUAGACAUGUAAACUGUAAAAUGAAUAAGUACAGCCAAGCUACUCAUUUAUGUGUCAGUCAUUUUCCUCAGUAGUCUCUAUGGCAUGAUUUCAUAGACAAAAGCAGUCAGCACAAGGAGGGGAGCAUAUUCAUAUAAUGUAAAAUUGAUUAUGAAAAAAAUAAAACAAAUAGACUAUGUUUAGUUUUCAUUGUUAGACUUCAAGGAUCAGGUCGCUAUUCAGCCUUAUCUUCCAAAAUUCUAAAGAAAGUAUACUGACAUGAAAAUCAUUCUUGAAAGUACAGAUAUGAAGAACCACACCAUAUGUGCUGCCCAAUAAGCUUUGUCAGGUAAAAGAUAAUAAGAGAAAAACUACUGAGAGCAGACAUCUUUAAGAGGAAACAGGGGGAUAGAGCCUUCACCUGAUUGGCAAAUCUCUUGCGAACUUGAUUAGCCAAAGAAACUGCAUCCACCUACAAAAGACAUAUCUGGUAAACUUACAAUGUUUACAUCAACAGAAGUAUUUGAACCAGAGUACUCUUGAUGCCUAAGCCAAAAGCAAAACCAGCUAAACUAGAAGAUGGAUAUAACACAACAAAAAUUUAAAAGAGCUGCAUGCUUUACACCAGACUUGCUACAAGCUGAAAGAUAUGGUACAACCAAAACUUCACCAGAACUGUUCUUUAAGGCUCUCUUAAAGCACGCUUAAUCCCUGAAACUUGGUUAGCCCAAGUUGAGCGCUUCGCCUUGCUUAAUUAGCGUGUUAGUGUAGAUUGUAGAAGUCAAGGUGUUGAGGCAUGUGCACCUUCACCAACGAGUUUUGUCUUUAAGGACACAACAACAUACCCAAUGUGAUCCCACAAGUGAGAUACAUCCCCAUAUAUAUAGUUAUAUCAUAGUUUUACCACUAUUUUGCCCAAAUAAUUAUUACUGUAUUUGUUUUUAUAGUCACAUUUUCUUGCAUUACAUUUAUAUUUUUUAUUUUCUCACUUGGCAUUUUUUCCCCAUAACGCCCACACUUCAAUCACGCUUUGCACUUAACGCUCCAACGGACUUUGGAGCUUUUUGCUUUUUUUCAGUUUUGACUACUCUGACAAGAAGAAUCUAACUCUUUCAAAGGGAAUAGAGCCAUUGCAUAGAACACUAGACAUUGUUGGCUGUAAAAAACUUGCGCCGAGACAUAGAAACACUGGACCGUUUUACCUGCUCCUCUUUGGUCCCUUUUUUCACAAACUCCAAGUCAAGGGUAAGUAAAGCAAGGUUGAAGUUCUCAGUUGGAACAAAUCUGCAAUUUGAAUAGUGAAAGGACUAAUUAACUUAUUUUAUUGAAAAAUUAGACGACAGUAAGCAAUAAUAUCUGAACAGUACUGAAGAACCUGCUAACGGAUAUAGCGUCUCCAGUGGAAAGUUUGGCAUAUCGUCUUUGAAUCGCAUUAAGACCAAGUUGACCAUUAGGAAUGGCGUCGUGGGCAGUGUUUCACAGUUAAGGCAAUACUAUAGUGCAUUAUCUUUGAUCAUUAAAAUGCUGCAGUACGAAUAUAAUAGACAAGCACAAAAAAUAGAUCACAAACUCCUUACGCUCAUCAGCAUUCAAUGGAAAAAUCUCUCCAAUAAUAAAAACAGAAACGGAAUAAAUUUGCAAUCUGAAAAUUAGGAAUAAGAACAGUAAUGAUUGAAAUUUAAAAGGAUAUACAAGAGUGAGAACAAAAGCAUCAGCGAUGAGUGCAUAAGAGAACUUGGAUCCCGGAACAGGAAAGUUUCUAAGAUCUGUAGGAGAACAAUAUGCGCAAUUGGUGUAAGCAAGAUCUUUCGCUGGCGUAGUAGUUACGUUCAUCGUCGUUGAUGGUACUCCUGCGGGAGGGCCGUAUCAAUUUUUGAAUAAAGAAAUUUUUGAAAUCUUGGUCUUUUGCUCGACUCUUAAGCGAGAAAAUGAUCAAAAUGGUCCUUAAUGUAUGACUUUGAUUCCAUUUGGUCCUUAAUGUAUGGAAUUAAUGGAAAUGGUCCUUUAUGUAUCAUAAAUUGUGAUCAAUUUGGUCCUUAACCCUAAAAUUAAUAUAUUUCUUUUUUUUUGCCGUCAAAAUAUGCGGAAUAUGUAAAAGAUGCGCUCGUUCAAGACUUUCCUUCCCCUGUUUCCAAAAAUUCCAAAAGGGCACAUUAAUUUUUUUUAUUAAAAAUUUCUGAGGUUAGGACUGCUUUAAAAAAUAAUGGGAAAUCGCUUCACGUGGAGCGAUUUCCCAUUAUUUUUUUUAAGCAAUCCUCGCCUCGGGAAUUUUUAAUAAAAAAAAAUUUAAACUUUUUUAAGAAAAUGGCUGCUAUAGCAACUAUUUCUAUUUUUUAAACGCUGCUCCAGCAGCGUUGUUAAAAAAAUAAAAUCACAAUAGCGAUUUAAAGAAAAAAGAAUUUUUUUUUGGAUCGGCAGCAAUUUUUAUGUUUUUUAAAGGAGUAAACGAAGUCAAUUUUGUCAGAAGAAAAUCGCUCCGUCAGGAGCGAUUUUGCCCUUUUGGUUAAAAAAAUUGAUGUGCCCUUUUGGAAUUUUUUGAAAUAGGGGAAGGAAAGUCUUGAACGAGCGCAUCUUUUACAUAUUCCAUGUAUUUUGACGGCAAAAAAAAAAGAAAAUAUAUUAAUUUUAGGGUUAAGGACCAAAUUGAUCACAAUUUAUGAUACAUAAAUGACCAUUUCCAUCAAGUUCAUACAUUAAGGACCAAAUGGAAUCAAAGCCCAUACAUUAAGGACCAUUUUGAUCAUUUUUCUCACUCUUAAGCAAAUGAAACGCGGGUUGAGUUCCAGAUCGGACCUGGGCUAUUGAACAUAUAUAGGCGAGAAGUUUCAGAUGGACUUGGCGGUUUGAUUAGCUAUUUGCAUGAAAUUUUAUAUAUAAAAUUACCUAAUUAUGCAUCUUUUUUAUGGUAUUUUCUAUUAUUUCUUACUAUUUUUAAAAAACUAUAAAAAUUUCUCACUUUUCGAAGUAAACUAUCACCCAAUUUUUUUUCUUUUUCACGCCUAAAAUUACUCCAACAUAUCACUAAUUAUCUCCAUCACUCUAUUUUUGAAUUUCAAUUUUUUUCUCUUUCCGAUUUAAGAUUGCAAAUUGUUGAAGAGUAGUUCUUCUUCAUCUUCUUCUUCAUCCAUUUUUUUCCUUUCCACUUUAUCAGGAAUCGAUUUUUAUUUUUUUUUUACUUUUUUAGCUUUUUCAUCUACAAAUUUAGUUGAAGAAGGAUGCAUCUUCAGCCUCAAUGUUGUUAAGUAUCUGCAACACUGUUUUAUAAAUAAAUCAGUGUAUAUCAUAUUCAUAGUUUUUUUGGUAUGUGAUACAUAACAAUAUAAAAUUGUCAACUCUUUUUGAAUCUGUUACGAUUUAGGAGAGAUUUGAGAGAAGAACAUUUGAAAUUUGAAUUGUUUGGAGCUGUUAUUUGGGAGAGACUGACAUCAAUUUGAUUUGCGUGAUUUGGGGACUUGACAUUAAAUUUUAUAUUUAAUUUCCUUUUUAAUCUCAACAAACUAGUUGUAUAAUUUAUCAAACGUGAUGUAUCCGAAAAAAUGAAUGUAUUCGGAUGACAUCGAUUUUAGGGGAUUUCUGUAAAUUUGAAAAGAGUAGGGAUAUGAUGUAAUUUGCUCCUUACACUAUGGGAUUCCUAAAAAAUGUACAUUUAUUCCUUUUUCUUUUUUACGUCUUAUUAAAUUAUAUUCUAUUUUUUCCUAUUUGUGUUUGGCAAAACCGCUAAAAAAAGCUUUUCAGGAAAGUGUGUUUAGAAAAAAAUAAAUUAUUUUUUGUUAAUUCAGUUGAAAAUUAUUUUUGAUUACCAUAUUUGAUUAACCUUUUUAUUAAAAAUGUUUUUGAAAGUCAAAUUACGAAAAAGGACAAAUAUGAUGAACUUUUACUACUAAAUUAGUGAAGAGAAAAAUAUUUUGAAUAUCAAUUAUGAAAAACUUAAAUUAAUAUAAUAGAUAAAUUAAAGAAAAUAUUAAAUAGUCAUACAAUAUUAACUAAUGCUUUAAAAUACUAUAAAGCAUUAAUCAAAUAACUUUAAAAAUCAUUCCAUAAACUAAAUCACUACACAUGUUAAUAAAUUGAUGAGGAUAUACAGAUAAAUAUGUACAAAUGAUAGGAAUGUUUGUGUAUUGCAAAUAAUUUUUUGCUUUUGUCUGUUUAAGAAGAGAGAUGUUUAGUUUCUUCUCACUCUUAGUUCUAUUUAAAAAUAAUAAUUUUACUAUUUGGUCAAACAACUUUAAUUUUUUGAAAAUAAAAUAAAAAAUCUCAUAAAAAAUUACAUGUGUAAACACUCUUUAACAGGCUUAUGAUUGCAGAAAAGAUUAACUAACCAUUGAUUCAAUUUUAAUCCAUAUUGUAUGAUAUAUCAAUUAUACCAGCAGUGAAAAGUUUAUCAACAAUACCAUAUGAAUAUCCAUAAUAUUAGACUAUCUCAGGACUAGUGGUUUAUCAGCAAUGCCACAUGAAUAUCCAUAAUAUUGGACUAUCGACUCUUACAUGUGAAAGUUGGAUUUUGUCUACAAAUAAUCUUAUAUAUGUAUUUACUACUUUGUAUAGUUAAAGGUAGGGCGCCAUUCGAAAGCAAUUUUACAAUAACUAUUAAUAACAAAUCUAAUGUAACAUCAUAAAGUAUGAUCUCGAGAUGGUAUAGAGUUACGUUGACCUUCUUUUUAUUUAAUAUAAUAAAAAAUACUACAUAUAUUAAACCAUGGAAAUGGGUCGAAAAUAAAAUGGAAGAGAAAUAAUAACAAAAUAAGAAAUUUCAUACAACUUUAAUAUUUUGGUUCUUCUAAUAAGUUGGACACCUGACAAAAUGAGAUUCUUUGUUACAAUUGCCUCAAUAAUUUCACAAUUUCUAUUUUGUGAAAAAAGAACUAAAAAUAAUUAAGGACCAUGAAGAUUUCUUUAAAUCCUCACCGUCAAGGAAUGUUUCGAAUCUCCUAUAUGUAGCACAUGUAAUCCUAAAAUAACUUUCAUGUUUCCAACUUCAUACACUACACUCAAAUGCUUGCAAGCAUCUAAGUUGAACUUAAACAACUCUUCACCUUGUGGUGUAAAAUGAAUCUUUUGGAAAUCCAACAAGUGCUUUUGAGGUGCAUUGUGAACUGAGGGUGGUGUAGUGAAUAACAAAACAGUAUGGCUUCCUUUCACUUUCUUGACAUUUUGAACUUUCAAGUGGAUAUCAUCAACAAUAGAGAGGAAAAAACUCUUUUUAUCAUGAGUAGGAGUCUUGUAAGGAUCCCAUACAUCAAGAUGUAUCAAUUCUAAGGAAAAUGACUUCUAGAGAAGCUAGUUGGAAAUACCAAUCUACUUUGCUUAGCUAAUGGACAUACUGGGCAAUCUGUAGUUGCAAAACUAUUUGAGUCUGUUUUCUAAAUCAACCCAAGUCUCUUCAUGACUUGUAAUGAAGGAUGACCUAGUCUUUGGUGCCAAAGUUCAGUAUCCCCUGCUUUAACUGAAGAAAGUUUGGCACUAUUAGUUGAGUACACAUCAUGAGACUUGACAAUGUACAAGAUUCCUUCCUCUUUACCAAUCCCCCUCACCCUACCAUUGUAAAGAUUCUGAAAUAUACAAAAGUUAGGGAAAAUGUGACAGAGCAGGACAUGCUCUUGGUUAGUUUGGAAACUGAUAUCAAGUUGAAUUUAAAGUCUGGGACACAUAAAACAUUGUCAACCUUCAGGCCUUCUAGGAACUCAGUAAUUUUCUAUAUGAGUGAUAUUAGACUUUCCACCAUUUGGUAAGUGAAUCUGUUGAUUACUAGAACAGUGAAUCUCAAUUGGAUCAUUUAGCAUGCCCAGAUUAGAUGCAACAUGAUGAGUGGCACCAGAAUCUAUGAUCCAUUCCUUUGAACUUUGAAGAGAAUGCAGUUAAUAGAGAUGUAACAGUACCUGCCAGGUUGUGCUGGUCUAUAUGCUCAUUCUUAUCAUUCAUCAUUUCCUGAAUCUGCUUGUAUUGUUCAUCUGAAAACAUAGGACCACUUCUCCCAUAUAAUUGUUCCAGUUGUUUGUAUUGUUCAUCUGUGAAGGCCUGAUUACCAGCUCCAUUCUUCAUUGAGCAGCUCCCUUCAUUUUCAACUGCAUAGUGUCUCCUAUCAUCACUCACAACAUUAUUUGCAUUGAAGUUCUCCUAUCUCUCAAAAUGUGGAUUGUAUUGUUUGUUGUUAUUAUUUGCAGCAUAGUUCUUCUUCCUGAAGUCAUCAUCAGGAACCCUUUUUUGUUCUUCUGGACGACCAAUUAACCAGUAGCAAUCUGCUUUCACGUGUCCUCCUCGUCCACAAUUAUCACACUUGACAAAGGGCUUCUUACCUCUAUAAGGUUGGCCUCUAUUGAUUUUCAAGGCAAGAGGUUCAUGGACAUGAUCUUUGGCUUUCAUCUUCUCUAAGCAUUGCAUAUGCUUGAUUUAGUGAUGGUUCAACAGUUUUGAGCAACAAUUGCCUGCGUACUUGCUCAUAAGAGUCAUUCAAACCAUUAAGAAACUGCAGUAAUCUCUGGCCCUGUAAGUGUUUAAUGUAAUCCCUAGAUUUCACGUAAUUACAUCCAGGUGUGGGAACCACAUCAUCAUAUUCAGCCCAAAGUUCUCUCAGACUUGUAAAAUACGUAGAUACAGAAUCAGUUACUUGUGAUAUCGUCGCGAUCUCUUGAUGUAACUGGAAAAUUCAAAUUCUAUUUACCUUAUCGAAUCUCUUCUUCAGAUCCUCUCAUACAAGAUGCGCAUUUGACGAAUACACGAUCCUACUAAGAAGAUGUGCAGAAACUGUAUUCAUGAUCCUGGACAGGACAAUUGCAUUGCAGGUCUCCCAAUCUUCAUGUAGAUCAGUACCGAAUUGAUCCUUCUUACAGGUCCCAUUAACAAAUCCCAAUUUUCUUUUUGCUAGCAAGGCAAUCGUCAUAGAUCGUCUCCGUAACCCGUAAUUUUUAGAUCCGGUUAAUUUUGUGGGAAUUAACACUGAUUCUGGAGUAUCUGACGGAUGAACAAACAAUAAAUGAAUGUGUAUUAUUAAUUUUCUCAGCAGUUACCUGAGUCUGUCGAUCUUCAGCUGCUUUUGUUCAUGAGUUUCCAGCCAUUUGUAAUCGCAAUUGAAAAUCCUAUUUGAUUUGAGCGUAUGAUCCAAGUCACGACUGCUCUGAUACCAUGUCAAUUUUCAUACUUAGCUUGUGAGUUCAAGCUCUAUUUUAAUUUUGUGGGAAUUAACACUGAUUCUGGAGUAUCUGGCGAAUGAACAAACAAUGAAUGAAUGUGUAUUAUUGAUUUUCUCAGCAGUUACCUGAGUCUGUCGAUCUUCAACUGCUUUUGUUCAUGAGUUUCCAGCCAUUUGUAAUCGCAAUUGAAAAUCCUAUUUGAUUUAAGCGUAUGAUCCAAGUCACGACUGCUCUGAUACCAUGUCAGUUUUCAUACUUAGCUUGUGAGUUCAAGAUCUAUUAAUGGCGGAAGUGUGUUUGAGAGAAGAUAAAAAGGAGAAUAUUAUUUCGUAUUGGUCUAACUCUUCUGUACAACCACAUGCAAGUAUUUAUAGUGUGAUCAACUAAUCAUCACCACUAGAUACAGCUCAGCAUCAAAGUCAGUUAUUAGUCUAACUAACUUUGAUCUUCCACUAACUAAGGCUAACAACUAAUUAACAAAAAAGGUCAGCCUAACUAACUAACUAACUUCCUUCAAUACGGAUAUAUUGAUUGUUUUGGUAAACAACUGUAAAAGAUUACCAUUACCAUCAAAAUUCGUACAAAUAAAGAGCACCUAUGCCUUGUAACAAGGAUUAGGCCUCCUACAAAGCAAAAAACUUAAUUACAAAGUAAAAGUUGAACAAAACUCCUACAACUCUGUGUUUUCUUUGAACUACUAAGAAAUUAUAAUCUCUCUAUAAUCUCCUUUUUGAUCUGUGUUGCCGCCUCCUUUAUAUGUACAGACUUGCCUUUGAACUUUUUCCAAUUCCUGGCUCUCCAUAUGUGAUAUACGAUUGCUCCACAAGUAGCCGCAAUAGUCUCCUUCUUAACUUUCUUCCAGUGCUUCAACCUUAUUCUUUCCAGUGUCUGCUUGAUCCCAUUGAUUUGCAACGCUAUUCCUGUCCAUUUUUCCACCUCUUUCCAUAUAGCCUGUGCCCACUCACACUUCACAAAUAAGUGUAUUGUAGUCUCCAUGACCUUCUUAUCACAAAGGCAGCAAUCAGUGUCCUCCACCUGAAUGUGUAAUUUCAGUUUCCUCUCCUGCGUGAGUAAUCUUCCUUGUACAGCCAACCACGUUAUGAAUCUAUGUUUAGGUAGAGCCAUAGAUGUCCACGCUAGCUCAGCAGUUCUCAUACGUGGUUGUUGGCCAAUCAGUGCUAAGUAACUGCUAGUGAUGGAAUAUUUUCCAGUUUGUGUGAGCAUGUAUCUUCCUUGGUUAUACCAACCCCGCAUUUGGACCUUGAUUGCAUUUAGCUGCCUCCAAUACCAGCUACAAUCUACAGGUGUAUUAUGUUUCCAUAUUGUUGCUCCAUCUUUCAUAUAUAUCCCAUGUAUCCACUUUACCCAUAGGGACUCCUUUUCCUCAAUUAUUGCCAUAACAAUUUCCUACUGAUGCAAUAUUCCAGAUGCUGCUACUUUUGAUAUUUAAUCCACCUUGUCUCUUUGGAUAACAGAUUUUUUCCCAAGAUACUAGAGCUAUCUUUCUCUUAUCAUUAGCUUUGCUCCACAAGUAAGUCCUACAAAUCUUGUCUACUUCUUUAAGUAUGCUUUGGGGUAGGAUAAACACUGCCCCCCAAAAACUAUGGAUGGAAAAUAAUACUGCAUUUAUCACCUGCAGUCUACCAGCAUAGGAUAGUUGUUUUGAAUAAGUCACGGUAAUUCUGUGAGUAAUCUUAUCAAUCAGUAAGAAGCAAUCAACUUUAUUCCACUUUCUUGGCGAUAGUGGAAGUCCCAAAUAUUUAAUAGGAAAUUCACCCCUCGAGAAACCGGUUCUAGCCAAGAUCUGAUCCCUUGUUUCCUCAUCCACACCAGCCAUAAAAACACUUGAUUUUUCCAUGUUAGCCUCCAAACCUGUGGCAGCACUAAAGAGAUUUAAUGCCUCCAUCACUCUAUUUACUGAAGCCAAAUUUCCUUUACAAAAAAUCAUUAAGUCAUCAGCAAAUAUUAGAUGAGUGAGUUUCAACUCUUUGCACAUUGGAUGGAGUCCAAAAUCAGGCAACAGACUCAUUGUUUUAAGUGUUCUUGACAAGUACUCCAUUACUAACACAAACAACAAAGGCGAUAUAGGAUCUCCUUGCUUAAGACCUCUCUUACCAGCAAAGAAACCAUGAUUCCCUCCAUUGACUUUUACUGAAAACAUUGUAGUGGAAACACAUAGCAUAGUCCACUUAAUAAACUUUUCUGGAAACCCAAAACCUCUAAGUACUUCCUCUAAAACCUCCCAACUUACCAUGUCAUAGGCUUUCUUCAAAUCAAUUUUCAUAAGACACCUAGGUGAGGCAUUCUUCCUAUUGUAGUGUCUUAGAAUAUCGUGACAAAUCAAAACAUUAUGCAUCAUUGCUCUUCCCUGGACAAAUGCUGAUUGGUUUUUUGCUACUAUCAGAUUCACUGCUUUCUUCAAUCUGCUACAAAUCAAUUUUGAUAUGCACUUGUAUAUGACAUUACAACAAGAUAUUGGUCUAAAUUGACUGGCAAAUUCAGGUACCUCUAUCUUUGGGAUGAGUGCAAUACUUGUUGAAUUGAUUUGUCUUAGUAACUUGCUGUUUUGGAAGAAUUCCAGCACUGGCGUAGUAACAUCUUGCCCCACAAUAGACCAAGCUGCUUUGUAAAAUCCACUACUAAAUCCAUCUGGUCCAGGACUUUUAUUACUAUCAAUCUGAAACAUUGAUGUCUUUACUGCUGCUGGUUCAAACCUAUGCACUAGUUCACUCUGUUGCUCCUCAUUAAGCACCACCCCAUGACUCAUCAAUUCUCCUAUUGCUGGUAUUCUCUGCAGGGACUUCUUUCCCAGGAUAUCCUCAUAAUAUUCCACAAUUACUUUUGCAAUACUAGUAGGAUCAUAUUGCCAUUCUCCUGAUGAAUUUUUCAGUUGAGUUGUAGCAUGCUUCAGCUUCCUAUGCUUAAUAACUGAAUAAAAGUACCUAGUAUUAUCAUCACCCAACCUUAUCCAUGUUGCUUUGCUCCUUUGUUGUAAAAAUACUUCAGCCAGAUAAGAAGAGGUUCUAAAUUUCUCAUACAACUGGCUUUCCAACUGUUGAUAAUCCAAGUUGUGCGGGUUACUCUGCAAUUGUAGUUGUGCUUGUUUCCGUUUUUCUCUAUCUCCAUUGGCUUCAUUCACUAUGUUCUGGAAAGACUGUGAGUGUAGCACCUUCAGCUUUCUCUUUAACAACUUCAAUCUUCUCACCACUUUGUACAUCAUACAACCUUCUAUAUUUUCAUCCCAUCCUUCAUUCACAACAGAUUGGAAUUGUCAACGUUUGGCCCGCACAUUACAAAACUGAAAUGGCUUCCUGGUUCUGCAUUCUUCUGUUAAGAUUACUUUUGCUGGACAGUGGUCACUAAUGUUAAGAAUUCAUCACCAACUUAAUUCUUUACUUAAGAUAAAUCAAGAAAAAUCUAGAAUAUUCCGGAGGUGUAGAGAAUUGAAGGAAGAUCUCUAGAAUGAGUAUUCUAGAAAGAAUAGUCUAGAAAUGUUCUAGAAAGAAUAGUUCUAGAAAAAGAUAGUUAGGAAUAUUCUAGAAUAGAGUAGUAUGUAUCUCUCUAGAUUCUUCCAUCACCUCCUAUAAAUAGAGGUGGUCCAUUUGAGUUGUACGCAAUCAAGAAAGAAAGCAAGAAACAAAGUAAGAAAGCAAGAAAGAAAGUAAGAGAGAAAACAAGAGUGAGUGCUAAGUCAAGAGUGUUGCUGAAGCAAGCAACAAGUGUGAUCAAGAUUGUAAGACCGAAGCGGGUCCUUACUUUGAUAUAAUAAAAUUCAAGUUGUGAGAAAUCNNNNNNNNNNNNNNNNNNNNNNNNNNNNNNNNNNNNNNNNNNNNNNNNNNNNNNNNNNNNNNNNNNNNNNNNNNNNNNNNNNNNNNNNNNNNNNNNNNNNNNNNNNNNNNNNNNNNNNNNNNNNNNNNNNNNNNNNNNNNNNNNNNNNNNNNNNNNNNNNNNNNNNNNNNNNNNNNNNNNNNNCCAUUUGAGUUGUAAGCAAUCAAGAAAGAAAGCAAGAAACAAAGCAAGAAAGCAAGAAAGAAAGUAAGAGAGAAAACAAGAGUGAGUGCUAAGUCAAGAGUGUUGCUGAAGCAAGCAACAAGUGUGAUCAAGAUUGUAAGACCGAAGCGGGUCCUUACUUUGAUAUAAUAAAAUUCAAGUUGUGAGAAAUCGAUUGUGCCCGUCGUCUCCAAACCAAUAAUAUUCAACAAUUAAUACCCUCAGGUAAGAAUAACGCCUUACAUGUAGGCAUUGCAUCUAGCCAUUCUCUGUUAAUAAAAAUCCAAUCAAUUUUUGAAAAUUUUUUGUUUCCAUCAUGUUUAUCACUCCACGUAUAUCUACUACCAUGAGUAGGAAAUUCUAUCAAACCACAUUCAAGAACACAUUCAUUGAACUCCAUAAUUUCUGCCCAAACUACUGGAUUUCCUCCUAUUCUAUCAUCAGUCUUCAGUAGGGAAUUGAAGUCACCUAACACCAUCCAUGGUUUUGUACAUUUUAGACUUUGGAGUAUCAGACUUUCCCAUAAAUCCCUCCUAUCUUCCCUGCUAUUAAAAGCAUACACAUAUGUUAUCUCAAAGGAGAGUUGAAGUGGGAUAAACACUACCUCACAUGUUAUCAGUUGUGUUGUUUUGUUGAUGGGUUUUACACAAUAGUAGUCAGGAUUCCAUGUCAGCCAUAUUCUACCAUUGUAGUGAUUUUCCAAGUUGGUAGUGUACUACCAACCUGCAAACAUACUCGCAGCCACAAGUUCUAUUCUUCCACUCUUUAUUUUAGUUUCUAGUAAGCCAACCAGACUCACAUUUUCUUCAUUGCAAAGGAUCUUCACUUCCUUUUGCUUAUUGGGAGCGUUAAGCCCCCUUACAUUCCAGCUAGUAAAUUAACCACCAGACCCUAUUAUGGCCUGGCCACCCAUAAUCACUCUACUCCUUCCUUUUUCAUUAUUGUUCUGCAAUAUUUGAUAGGAAUUUGCACUUUCAAUCUGAGUUGAUCUUCUUGGAGGUGAUAUCUUCCCUGCUCGUGUAGGAGUUUGCCAUCCUUCCUUUCUACUGUUUAUCUCUUCAUCACUCUGUUUUGCUCUAGUGUUACUCACUAUCACUAUCCCUUCUUGUCGUGCUACAACUACUUUAGCUAGUUGUUGAUUAGGACUAUUUUGUACCUGUACAUUUACCCUGUCUUGUGGCAAUGGAACAGGUUUGGGAACCUUUCUCUUCACUCUACAUACCUCCUCCUCAUGACCAUAUUUAUUACAAAACUUGCAUAGUGUUGGUUUCCAAUCAUACUGAACCUGAUGCACAAUGAUUUUCCCUUUUUCAUUGAUUGUUAUUUCGGCUUAAUUUAUCUUGAUGAAUUCAUUGCGUGUGAUUUCCUGAAGAAGUAUAUUUUGUGGAUUCACAGUGAUUUGUGAAGUUGAGUGGUUUUGGACUUUCUGACUAACUUCUAGUCAUAUGCACUUAGAAGGAUACCAGGUAUCAGGUAUUUAAGUCGAGAUUACACUAAACAAUGAGGUGAUAUUUUUUAUCAGAUCAUUCGUACUAGAUUUUAGAAUACUUAUAUAUGUAAUCUAAUUAAAUGUUUUCUUAGCCCCCAUAGUAUAUCAAUUAAUAACAUUUUGAGUCCUAUAUUUAUCUUUUCUUUAUUUGUCCAUUUUCAUCACAUUUGUUUUAAUAUUUUUAUAUCUAUAACUCAUUUAUUUAUUUUCUACUCUUCUAUUUUCAUCUAUAUAAACUCAUAUUUUUGGUUUCAUAUGAUUCUAUCCAAGGAGCAAUCCUAUUAGAACGUGGAAAAGGAAUCCUUUUACAAUGACAAAACCAACAAAAAAAAGUAGUCCAAUUCUAUUAGGAAUCAAAUUCUAUUUCUUCAACUAUAAAAUAACUAGUUCGUUCCCCGGAACAAGCUUUCAUUAUGUUCUUUCUCUGGAUCACAGCCUACCAAACUAAAGUGACUUUGUUUGAUUUACUGCAAUCUGUCUUGCAAUGGAGGAAAUACUUAUAGACAUUUUGAAAAGGCCACUGGUGAAGUCACUUAUUCGUUUCAAUUGCGUCUCAAACUUUUGGAACACAUUAAUCUCUCAACCUUAUUUUAAGAAGAAGCAUCUCAAUCAUUCCAAAAGUCAAGUCAGUUCCCAAAAAUUGCUUUUUGUCCGGUGCGAUCCUAACUGUCAAUUCUGGUCUGGUUCCUUAUCCUUAAUUCCCAUUGAUUGCACUUCAAAUUCUAAUCCAAAAGAUGGUAUAAAAAUGUAUUCUAGUUGUGACGGCUUGUUUCUCAUCGGAAUUUGGACCGACCGUUAUGCCGAACAACCUUCCAUAUUAGUCAUAUGGAACCCUUCCACUAGACAAUCAAUAUGACUUCCCCAUUCUAAAUUUUCACUUCAGAUGGGAGAUCAACAUCACAAUCACAAUGAACAUAUAGAAAAUGACAACGAAAAUAUGGGAAAUUACUCUAAUAGUAUCAGUGAUGAUGAUGAUGAUAGGGGAUUUACUUAUGGAUUGGCUUAUGACUCUAAAAAUCAUGAACAGAUAGAAGAUGACGAUGAAAAGAUGGGAAAUUACUCUAAUAGUAUCAGUGACGAUGAUGAUGAUGAUGAUGAUAGGGGAUCUACUAAUGGAUUGGCUAAUAAUGACUCUAAAAAUUCAUGAACAGAUAGAAGAUGACGAUGAAAAGAUGGGAAAUUACUCUAGUAGUAUCAGUGAUUAUGAUGAUGAUAGGGGAACUACUUAUGGAUUGGCUUAUGACUCUAAACGUGAAGAUUAUAAAGUCUUAAUGAUUGACAUGUGUGGGAAUAACGACAAUGAAAUUCUCGCACUGAAAAAUGGUUCCUGGAAAAUAAUUGAUCGUAAAACCUCUGGCAGGACAGAUAGUGGUUUGUUGUGUGGUGGAGAACUUUUUGGCAUUUGUAGAUGGAGCAUUUCAUUGGCUUGGUUUCUUAUCAAAGGUUUGUGUGGUUUCAUUUAAUAUUUCAGAUGAAAUAUACGGAGAGAUAUCAUUGCCAGAGAUAGUAAGCUCCGAACUCACUCUAUUCAAGUUUGAUAACGUUGAAGUUCAUGUGGGACUAUCAAUAUUGAGAGAAAUGUUUCAUCGACAAAGAUUUUAGUUUAUGGGUAAUGAAAAAGUAUGAUAUUGAAGAUUCUUGGAUGAAAUUGUUCACUAUACCGAUUUUAGUUUAUGGGUAAUGAAAAAGUAUAAUAUUGAAGAUUCUUGGAUGAAAUUGUUCACUAUACCGAUGAAGUAUUACUGUGAAUUGGGUGACACCGGAACAUGUGGAAACAUCAUAGGUAUGUAAGAUAAUAUCUGGUGGCCAAUAUCGAAUGAUUUCUCAAGAUUAUGAUAUUGAUGCGAUUACAGUUAAUCGGGAGGGUUUUGCUUAUACCGAAACUCUCACGGACAUUAAAUUAUAUUAAAUGUUUAGGAAAUUUUUGGUUCCAAAUUGAUCUUGUUUUUUUUUAUUUACUAUUCUUUGCUAAGAAAGAAUUGAUCUAUAUUUUUCUUUUACCUGCUGUUUCUCUGCUGCUUUUAUCCGUAUGAAAGUUCCUUUUUUGUCGGGGAUUGUUUGAGUGAUUAGGAAAAAUAAUGUAUGCAUUAAUUUUGUGUAUUAUUAGUAUUUUGCGUGGUACUCUUUCAUAAUCUAUGUAUUAAUAGUUCCUUCUUUGUCUGGGAUCGUUUGAGUUAUUAGGAAAAAUAAUGCAUGCGUUAAUUUUGUUUAUUAUUAGUACCUUGUUUGGUUCUCUUUCCUAAUCUAUGUAUUAGUUAUUGUGUAUUAAGGUGGGCAUAUAUCAUGGAUUUCUAGGUAUUAGCAAUGCAAUGGUUUUUAUGCAUGCAUUAACUUAAUUAAAGACUCAAUGACCCCUCAAAACUUUUUUUACAUCUUUUCCACCAUAAUUGUGGAGGGCUUUGUGAAUAACGUUUAAUGUAAUUUUUCAACGAUACUCAUAAAACUAGAAUUCAACUUUAAGUAUACAAUGUAAUUUUUCGACGAAGGGAGUUCGAGUGACCCUCUUGAGCUCCACAUAGCUCCGACCCUGAGCCCAGGUUGAGCGCUUCACCUUGCUUAAUUAGCGUGUUAGUGUAGCUUGUAGAAGCCAAGGUGUUAAGGCAUGUGCACCUUCACCAACGAGUUCUGCCUUUGAGAAUACAACAACAUACCCAGUGUGUUCCUACAAGUGAGAUACAACACCAUAUAUAUAGUUAUAUUAUAGUUUUACCACUCUUUUGUCCGAAUAGUUAUUAUCUGUUUUUGUAGAUACAUAUUCUUGCAUUACAUUUGUAUUUUUUAUUUUCUCACUUGGCAUUUUUUCCCCAUAAAGUCCACACUUUAAUGGCACUUUGCACUUAACGGUUCAACUAUACUGGACUUCUUUACACACAUAUAUAUGGAGGUUGUAUUUUGUCUACAAACUAUAUAUAUAUAUAUAGUUAAAGGUAGGUACACCUUUUGAAAGCUAUUUUACAAUACUUAUUAGUAACAUAUUCAGUGUAAUAUCACUAAGUGUAGUCUGGAGAUAGUAGAGUGUUAACCUUCCUUUAAAUCAUUUCUAUUCAAUAUAUAGGGAUGUCAAGAAAAAUAAAAUAGCAGAGAGAAGGAAUAAUAACAAAAUAAGAAGCUUCAUACAACUUAAAUAUUGUGUUUCUUCUACAUAUGUUGAACACCUUGACAAAAUGAGAUACUUUGUUACAAUUGCCUCAACAUAUUGAUAAUUUGAGAAUUUCCAUGUGGUAGUUUCCCUUUUCCCUUUUGAGAAAAAAAGAAGUUAAAAUAAUUAAGGACUAUGAGGAUUUCUUUAAAUCCUCAGAGUCAAGGAAUGUUUCAAAUCUCCUAUAUGUAGCACAUGUAAUCCUAAAGCAACUUUCCUGUUUCCAACUUCAUCAACUACACUCAAAUGCUUGCAAACAUCUAAGUUGAACUUAACAACUCCUUCACUCUGUGGUGUCAAAUGAAUCUUUUGGAAAUCCAACAAGUGCUUUUGAGGUGCAUUGUGGACUGAGGGUGGUGAAGUGAACAACAAAACAGUGUGGCUUCCUCUCAUUUUCCCAACAUUUUGAACUUUCAAGUGGAUAUCAAAUCCCAAGUUGUUGCAGCCUUGCUCAUUAACAGAAUCAAUAGACUUGCACUUUGUCGAUCGACAAGCAUGUCCUUCCUCAAGAGGAAUGGACACAAAUUUUGGUGCUUUUACCAG
RNAcentral lists this long non-coding RNA (17523 nucleotides) under Solanum tuberosum (potato). Its description in RNAcentral is "long non-coding RNA (STUB_LNC002380)". Lineage: Eukaryota; Viridiplantae; Streptophyta; Magnoliopsida; Solanales; Solanaceae. The record is from RNAcentral.